GACGAACGCUGGCGGCGUGCUUAACACAUGCAUGUCGAACGGAAAGGCCCUGCUUUUGUGGGGUGCUCGAGUGGCGAACGGGUGAGUAACACGUGAGUAACCUGCCCUUGACUUUGGGAUAACUUCAGGAAACUGGGGCUAAUACCGGAUAGGAGCUCCUGCUGCAUGGUGGGGGUUGGAAAGUUUCGGCGGUUGGGGAUGGACUCGCGGCUUAUCAGCUUGUUGGUGGGGUAGUGGCUUACCAAGGCUUUGACGGGUAGCCGGCCUGAGAGGGUGACCGGCCACAUUGGGACUGAGAUACGGCCCAGACUCCUACGGGAGGCAGCAGUGGGGAAUAUUGCACAAUGGGCGGAAGCCUGAUGCAGCAACGCCGCGUGCGGGAUGACGGCCUUCGGGUUGUAAACCGCUUCCGCCUGUGACGAAGCGUGAGUGACGGUAAUGGGUAAAGAAGCACCGGCUAACUACGUG
RNAcentral lists this ribosomal RNA (468 nucleotides) under uncultured bacterium. RNAcentral's name for it is "partial 16S ribosomal RNA". It matches the Rfam family "Bacterial small subunit ribosomal RNA", at positions 28 to 507 of the family's 1533-position model. The record is from RNAcentral.